RNAcentral lists this ribosomal RNA (1271 nucleotides) under Arthrobacter sp. Its description in RNAcentral is "bacterial SSU rRNA". It matches the Rfam family "Bacterial small subunit ribosomal RNA", at positions 73 to 1355 of the family's 1533-position model. The record is from RNAcentral. Lineage: Bacteria; Bacillati; Actinomycetota; Actinomycetes; Micrococcales; Micrococcaceae.
CCGGUGCUUGCACCGGGGAUUAGUGGCGAACGGGUGAGUAACACGUGAGUAACCUGCCCUUAACUCUGGGAUAAGCCUGGGAAACUGGGUCUAAUACCGGAUAUGACUCCUCAUCGCAUGGUGGGGGGUGGAAAGCUUUUUGUGGUUUUGGAUGGACUCGCGGCCUAUCAGCUUGUUGGUGAGGUAAUGGCUCACCAAGGCGACGACGGGUAGCCGGCCUGAGAGGGUGACCGGCCACACUGGGACUGAGACACGGCCCAGACUCCUACGGGAGGCAGCAGUGGGGAAUAUUGCACAAUGGGCGAAAGCCUGAUGCAGCGACGCCGCGUGAGGGAUGACGGCCUUCGGGUUGUAAACCUCUUUCAGUAGGGAAGAAGCGAAAGUGACGGUACCUGCAGAAGAAGCGCCGGCUAACUACGUGCCAGCAGCCGCGGUAAUACGUAGGGCGCAAGCGUUAUCCGGAAUUAUUGGGCGUAAAGAGCUCGUAGGCGGUUUGUCGCGUCUGCCGUGAAAGUCCGGGGCUCAACUCCGGAUCUGCGGUGGGUACGGGCAGACUAGAGUGAUGUAGGGGAGACUGGAAUUCCUGGUGUAGCGGUGAAAUGCGCAGAUAUCAGGAGGAACACCGAUGGCGAARGCAGGUCUCUGGGCAUUAACUGACGCUGAGGAGCGAAAGCAUGGGGAGCGAACAGGAUUAGAUACCCUGGUAGUCCAUGCCGUAAACGUUGGGCACUAGGUGUGGGGGACAUUCCACGUUUUCCGCGCCGUAGCUAACGCAUUAAGUGCCCCGCCUGGGGAGUACGGCCGCAAGGCUAAAACUCAAAGGAAUUGACGGGNGGCCCGCACAAGCGGCGGAGCAUGCGGAUUAAUUCGAUGCAACGCGAAGAACCUUACCAAGGCUUGACAUGAACCGGUAAUACCUGGAAACAGGUGCCCCGCUUGCGGUCGGUUUACAGGUGGUGCAUGGUUGUCGUCAGCUCGUGUCGUGAGAUGUUGGGUUAAGUCCCGCAACGAGCGCAACCCUCGUUCUAUGUUGCCAGCACGUGAUGGUGGGGACUCAUAGGAGACUGCCGGGGUCAACUCGGAGGAAGGUGGGGACGACGUCAAAUCAUCAUGCCCCUUAUGUCUUGGGCUUCACGCAUGCUACAAUGGCCGGUACAAAGGGUUGCGAUACUGUGAGGUGGAGCUAAUCCCAAAAAGCCGGUCUCAGUUCGGAUUGGGGUCUGCAACUCGACCCCAUGAAGUCGGAGUCGCUAGUAAUCGCAGAUCAGCAA